UGUAUACCUCUUCCCGAGGUAGCUCCAGUGCAAAUGUGGCCUCAUGUUGCCCUGGGCCUAGCUUCACCUUGGAGGGACUGAGUUCCCCCAGUCUGGCUGAGUCCCCUGCCCAUCCUCCAGCCCUUCGGUCUCUCCUGGAGUCUUCCCAGGCCUCUGCCAGCCUGCACUGUUCAAUCCAAAAGCUUAAGCAAGAGACUGCUGCAAUGGGGAUAUUGGGCUCCCUGCCUUUGGAGUCCAGGUCUUCUCCCGUCACGUGCAGGUUCUGCUCUGCUCCUGAUGUCUCUCCAUCUGCCAUCCAGGGUGCAGAAGAGUAUCGUGCCAGGGGAAAGACUAGGGCUGCUCAAGCUAGGAUGAAAUGGGGCAGCCCAUUUGCUAAGGCCUGGGGUCUCGGUUCAGUAACAAGUGAGACUGAGCCGACCUCCAUCUAUCACAGGUACAGAACCACAGAGUUAUACACCCAGAGAGCCAGCGUCUCUGAAGGAAUUUGGUCAGGGCCCCUCUCCGCUGAGGCUGGCCCAGUUGGUCUGGUUGAUACUGAAGCAGGCAGUCCCUAUGACUGCUCUCCCUACCUCGGCUACAGGUCACAGGCAUGUGGCCAUGCAACCACUCACUUCCCUGAGGAACCCUCAUUCAGAUCUCCCCCCUGCUCUGUGUCUCAGAGAGAGGACCUGCCACCCAGCCGAUACCCAGGUGGUCUGCAGGUGUCACUGGAGACACAGCACAGCGGAGCUCAGAUGAACAUUGGUGUAGCCAUAGAUGGGACCCCGAGGAAAGCGUGUGUGAGAGUCACUUCUCCUCCUGCAGAAACAGGGGCUGCUCCAGUCCAGCAGCUUUGCAUUCACUCUAGCUGUGAGGGAGCCUCUGUCCCUCACUGCAAAUACCACAGGGAGCCAGCAGAGCUUUAUGAUGCUGCAUUGGCUGCAGGCAAGAGACCAACUGUGGUGAAUAGGAGGCCGCCUGCAGCCAGGUCCAGCCCUAGCCCUCUCAGUGUAACAGUCAGACGAGGCUCUAACGAAUAUUCCUGGGCUGCCCGUGAUGUUGAUGGUCCGGACACUGCCAGAGAGGGAGGAAGGAGAGAGCUCUCUAUCAAGGCUGUCUGUACACCUCCUGCUGAGAAGAGCACUGGGGAUCUGCCACCCCAUGAAGUCAACUGCCAGGUGCAGCAUGUUGCACCAGCCUGGGUAAGGAGAUGUUUGGCAGGCAGCCCUGCUCCCCCCACCCUAUGCCCUGGAGGGGGCUGGUCCCCACUUUGCCCCCA
Molecule: long non-coding RNA, 1258 nt
Filed under: Crocodylus porosus (Australian saltwater crocodile)
Lineage: Eukaryota; Metazoa; Chordata; Crocodylia; Crocodylidae
Description: lncRNA (ENSCPRG00005014710.1)
Source: RNAcentral